UUUCUGCACUGGGGGUGCCCACUAUGGCUGAGAUGCGAGCUUUUUGCUCCGAUCCCUUAUAACUCGAUCAGGAUAAUACCUGCGUGAGGAAGUGCGGUGACUUUCCG
RNAcentral lists this non-coding RNA (107 nucleotides) under Psychrobacillus sp. FJAT-21963. RNAcentral describes it as "TPP riboswitch aptamer (THI element)". It matches the Rfam family "TPP riboswitch aptamer (THI element)". Rfam says of the family: Vitamin B(1) in its active form thiamin pyrophosphate (TPP) is an essential coenzyme that is synthesised by coupling of pyrimidine and thiazole moieties in bacteria. Lineage: Bacteria; Bacillati; Bacillota; Bacilli; Caryophanales; Bacillaceae. The record is from Rfam by way of RNAcentral. RNAcentral also lists the same sequence under 1 other name.